This 1346-nucleotide ribosomal RNA is filed under the name uncultured bacterium. Its description in RNAcentral is "bacterial SSU rRNA". It matches the Rfam family "Bacterial small subunit ribosomal RNA", at positions 28 to 1381 of the family's 1533-position model. The record is from RNAcentral.
GACGAACGCUGGCGGCGUGCUUAAUACAUGCAAGUCGAACGGAAAGGCCCUGCUUUUGUGGGGUGCUCGAGUGGCGAACGGGUGAGUAACACGUGAGUAACCUGCCCUUGACUUUGGGAUAACUUCAGGAAACUGGGGCUAAUACCGGAUAGGAGCUCCUGCUGCAUGGUGGGGGUUGGAAAGUUUCGGCGGUUGGGGAUGGACUCGCGGCUUAUCAGCUUGUUGGUGGGGUAGUGGCUUACCAAGGCUUUGACGGGUAGCCGGCCUGAGAGGGUGACCGGCCACAUUGGGACUGAGAUACGGCCCAGACUCCUACGGGAGGCAGCAGUGGGGAAUAUUGCACAAUGGGCGGAAGCCUGAUGCAGCAACGCCGCGUGCGGGAUGACGGCCUUCGGGUUGUAAACCGCUUUCGCCUGUGACGAAGCGUGAGUGACGGUAAUGGGUAAAGAAGCACCGGCUAACUACGUGCCAGCAGCCGCGGUGAUACGUAGGGUGCGAGCGUUGUCCGGAUUUAUUGGGCGUAAAGGGCUCGUAGGUGAUUGAUCGCGUCGGAAGUGUAAUCUUGGGGCUUAACCCUGAGCGUGCUUUCGAUACGGGUUGACUUGAGGAAGAUAGGGGAGAAUGGAAUUCCUGGUGGAGCGGUGGAAUGCGCAGAUAUCAGGAGGAACACCAGUGGCGAAGGCGGUUCUCUGGGCCUUUCCUGACGCUGAGGAGCGAAAGCGUGGGGAGCGAACAGGCUUAGAUACCCUGGUAGUCCACGCUGUAAACGGUGGGUACUAGGUGUGGGGUCCAUUCCACGGGUUCCGUGCCGUAGCUAACGCUUUAAGUACCCCGCCUGGGGAGUACGGCCGCAAGGCUAAAACUCAAAGGAAUUGACGGGGCCCCGCACAAGCGGCGGAGCAUGCGGAUUAAUUCGAUGCAACGCGUAGAACCUUACCUGGGUUUGACAUGGAUCGGGAGUGCUCAGAGAUGGGUGUGCCUCUUUUGGGGUCGGUUCACAGGUGGUGCAUGGCUGUCGUCAGCUCGUGUCGUGAGAUGUUGGGUUAAGUCCCGCAACGAGCGCAACCCUUGUUCACUGUUGCCAGCACGUUAUGGUGGGGACUCAGUGGAGACCGCCGGGGUCAACUCGGAGGAAGGUGGGGAUGACGUCAAGUCAUCAUGCCCCUUAUGUCCAGGGCUUCACGCAUGCUACAAUGGCUGGUACAGAGAGUGGCGAGCCUGUGAGGGUGAGCGAAUCUCGGAAAGCCGGUCCCAGUUCGGAUUGGGGUCUGCAACUCGACCCCAUGAAGUCGGAGUCGCUAGUAAUCGCAGAUCAGCAACGCUGCGGUGAAUACGUUCCCGGGGCU